GAGAGAGUUCAAGAGUACGUGAAACUGCUCAGAGGGAAACGGGUGGGCCCUCGAAGUCCGGCGGCGGGAGGAUUCAGUCGGGAGGCUCGGACGACUGCCGGGCGCGAUGCCGUGCCGCCCCCUCACUGGGGCGGAGGCCGCGCCACUCGGAGACGUCGCUUUCGGGUCUUCCGGCGCAUUUCUUUCCCGUCCAGAGGACGCCGUCACCGGUCGGGCAGCGGCCGUAGGGACGGGAGCGGGCAGGGGACCGGAGGCCCUCGGGCUUCCGGUCUUUGGCCUUCUCGUCCGGGCACGCCGCCCGACCGAGAUCGAACGAGAGACCCCCUGCGGGUCCGGCCGCCUCCAUUCCGCCCUGCGGGAGCGGACGCCGUGGCAGAACAGCCCCCGCGCCUCGGUCGCACGGGAAGAACCCGUGGACGCGAGGUCGCGCGACUACGGAAGGGCUUCGCUGGCCUCGGACUUUUCCGCGGGAGGAGGCGGUGGGCGGCGAGUAGGUCGGCAACCCACCCGACCCGUCUUGAAACACGGACCAAGGAGUCUAACAUGCGUGCGAGUCAAUGGGUCUCGAACAAGCCCAAAGGCGGAGCGAAAGCAAAUUGCGGGAGCCCUCCCGCAGAAAGUCGGGAUCCCUCUCCCUGCGUAGGAGGGGGCGCACCGACGGCCCGCCGGUUCCGCCUCGUGCGGUCCGGCGGAGUCUGAGCACGCACGUUGGUACCCGAAAGAUGGUGAACUAUGCCCGGGCGGGACGAAGCCAGAGGAAACUCUGGUGGAGGUCCGCAGCGGUCUGACGUGCAAAUCGAUCGUCAGACCCCGGUAUAGGGGCGAAA
This 827-nucleotide ribosomal RNA is filed under the name Herennia oz. Its description in RNAcentral is "partial large subunit ribosomal RNA". The stretch from base 529 to 827 matches the Rfam family "Eukaryotic large subunit ribosomal RNA", at positions 665 to 928 of the family's 3401-position model. Lineage: Eukaryota; Metazoa; Arthropoda; Arachnida; Araneae; Nephilidae. The record is from RNAcentral.